RNAcentral lists this unclassified non-coding RNA (517 nucleotides) under Hevea brasiliensis (rubber tree). The record is from RNAcentral. Lineage: Eukaryota; Viridiplantae; Streptophyta; Magnoliopsida; Malpighiales; Euphorbiaceae.
GGGAGGUGCUGCCAAUAAUACUCACAAAAAUAAAAUAAAAAUGGCGUCAAUAUCUAUUCCUUUAGCGUAUAAAUCUCAUUAUCUCCUUCGUUCCCCAGUUUAUCGCCCUUUGCAACUUCACUCACCCAUCCAAAUCAAAUGUUCAGCUUCCAAGGAUUGUUCCAACAGUGAGGAAAGUUCAACUCAGUUUAAGCAACUUAGGAAUGUUGCUUGUGGAUUCCUUGCUGUUUGGGCACUUUCUUCUGUUUCUCCCGUUAUUGCUGCUGGUCAGAGAUUACCUCCAUUAUCAACAGAUCCAGAUAGGUGUGAACGGGCCUUUGUUGGCAACACAAUAGGUCAAGCCAAUGGUGUUUACGAUAAGCCACUUGAUCUGCGCUUUUGUGAUUACACAAAUGAGAAAACUAAUCUUAAGGGGAAGUCACUUGCAGCAGCACUCAUGUCUGAUGCAAAAUUUGAUGGUGCAGACAUGACUGAAGUGAUCAUGUCUAAGGCUUAUGCUGUUGGUGCUAGUUUUAAG